This 595-nucleotide ribosomal RNA is filed under the name uncultured bacterium. Its description in RNAcentral is "bacterial SSU rRNA". It matches the Rfam family "Bacterial small subunit ribosomal RNA", at positions 34 to 626 of the family's 1533-position model. The record is from RNAcentral.
CGCUAGCGGCAGGCCUAAUACAUGCAAGUCGAGGGGUAUAUUGGUGCUUGCACCGAUAGAGACCGGCGCACGGGUGCGUAACGCGUAUGCAACCUACCUUAAUCAGGGGGAUAGCCCGAAGAAAUUCGGAUUAACACCGCAUAAAAUCACAGUAUAGCAUUAUACAAUGAUCAAAUAUUUAUAGGAUUAAGAUGGGCAUGCGUGUCAUUAGCUAGUUGGCGGGGUAACGGCCCACCAAGGCGACGAUGACUAGGGGAUCUGAGAGGAUGACCCCCCACACUGGUACUGAGACACGGACCAGACUCCUACGGGAGGCAGCAGUAAGGAAUAUUGGUCAAUGGAGGCAACUCUGAACCAGCCAUGCCGCGUGCAGGAAGACUGCCCUAUGGGUUGUAAACUGCUUUUAUCCGGGAAUAAACCUAUUUACGUGUAGAUAGCUGAAUGUACCGGAAGAAUAAGGAUCGGCUAACUCCGUGCCAGCAGCCGCGGUAAUACGGAGGAUCCAAGCGUUAUCCGGAUUUAUUGGGUUUAAAGGGUGCGUAGGCGGCCUGUUAAGUCAGAGGUGAAAGACGGUAGCUCAACUAUCGCAGUGCCU